RNAcentral lists this unclassified non-coding RNA (88 nucleotides) under Pseudomonas brassicacearum. Lineage: Bacteria; Pseudomonadati; Pseudomonadota; Gammaproteobacteria; Pseudomonadales; Pseudomonadaceae. The record is from RNAcentral.
UGUGGGAGCGAGCUUGCUCACGAUAGCGUCGGCUCAGCUAUAUUUGCAUUGGCUGAUACACCGCAUCGCGAGCAAGCUCGCUCCCACA